RNAcentral lists this unclassified non-coding RNA (850 nucleotides) under Haliotis rubra (blacklip abalone). RNAcentral's name for it is "protein kish-B-like, transcript variant X1". Lineage: Eukaryota; Metazoa; Mollusca; Gastropoda; Lepetellida; Haliotidae. The record is from RNAcentral.
UAUUGCUAGAAUUAGAAGCGAGUACUUCCUGUUGACACGCAGAGGCACGAAAACAAACUUCUUAUGCCUCAAACAGUCCAGUUUCUGAGCAGUUAAUUACCUCUCUGAGAUAAUGACGAAUGUGUAUUCAUUUGAUGGACUGUUGGUGUUCGGCCUGCUAGUCGUAUGUACAUGUGCCUACAUGCGACGGGUUCCUCGACUCAAGCAGUGGUUCCUGUCUGAGAAAAAAGGCUUUCUAGGAGUAUUUUAUAAAGCAUCUGUUAUUGGCACCCGACUUCACACUCCGGUAUCUGUCAUCUGUAUUCUCAUGGCAUUCUAUGUUCUUCUACUCAAGUAACCAUGGCAAACUCACCUUUCAUUACGUCUCCGCCCAGAGUUGUCUGCUCUUGCAUACUCAUCCAUCAUUUGUAUCACAUUGAAUGUGGAGAAGGCAUGGACAUUACAUGGAGAACAGCUGACUGUGGUUGACAGCUCAACUAUGCAGAAACUGUGUAAUUAUGUGAAGAACACGACUUUCUGUGAUCACUGUGUACUUACCAUGUUUGUUUACAGAUCUUCUAAAGUUCCAGAUUGGCUAAUUAUCUGCAUAAAAUAUGCACAACAAAUCAUGCUCACUCUUUACUCACUCACGAAAUAUGCCUGAAAAAUAUGACUUUACCAUGUUUACUAUACUGUGUGUGUAAUUACCUAAAGUCAGACAUUGUAUUUGUAUCUUUCGUAACACUAUUUCCUUAAUGACCAUCUAUACUGAUAAAAUGCAAGCAUGUCCACUUUUGAGUUUUGGUACAAAGACCUUUCAGUGUAAUAAACUUGCAACAUGGUACUAAGUUGGGGCAAGUUCAUUACAUUA